UGCAAGUCGAACGCUUCUUUUUCCACCGGAGCUUGCUCCACCGGAAAAAGAGGAGUGGCGAACGGGUGAGUAACACGUGGGUAACCUGCCCAUCAGAAGGGGAUAACACUUGGAAACAGGUGCUAAUACCGUAUAACAAUCGAAACCGCAUGGUUUCGAUUUGAAAGGCGCUUUCGGGUGUCGCUGAUGGAUGGACCCGCGGUGCAUUAGCUAGUUGGUGAGGUAACGGCUCACCAAGGCGACGAUGCAUAGCCGACCUGAGAGGGUGAUCGGCCACAUUGGGACUGAGACACGGCCCAAACUCCUACGGGAGGCAGCAGUAGGGAAUCUUCGGCAAUGGACGAAAGUCUGACCGAGCAACGCCGCGUGAGUGAAGAAGGUUUUCGGAUCGUAAAACUCUGUUGUUAGAGAAGAACAAGGAUGAGAGUAACUGUUCAUCCCUUGACGGUAUCUAACCAGAAAGCCACGGCUAACUACGUGCCA
This 483-nucleotide ribosomal RNA is filed under the name Enterococcus hirae. RNAcentral's name for it is "bacterial SSU rRNA". It matches the Rfam family "Bacterial small subunit ribosomal RNA", at positions 56 to 510 of the family's 1533-position model. Lineage: Bacteria; Bacillati; Bacillota; Bacilli; Lactobacillales; Enterococcaceae. The record is from RNAcentral.